RNAcentral lists this ribosomal RNA (1438 nucleotides) under uncultured bacterium. RNAcentral's name for it is "bacterial SSU rRNA". It matches the Rfam family "Bacterial small subunit ribosomal RNA". The record is from RNAcentral.
UAGAGUUUGAUCCUGGCUCAGAACGUACGCUGGCGGCACGCCUAACACAUGCAAGUCGAACGAAGUAGCAAUACUUAGUGGCAGACGGGUGAGUAACAUGUAGGUAUCUACCCUUUGGCCUGGAAUAACACGAGGAAACUUGUGCUAAUACCGGAUAAGUCUUUACAGAGAAAGCUUUAUGCACCAUUGGAUGAGCCUGCACUUGAUUAGUUUGUUGGUGGGGUAAUGGCCUACCAAGACUGUGAUCAAUAGCUGAUUUGAGAGGAUGAUCAGCCACAUUGGGACUGAGACACGGCCCAAACUCCUACGGGAGGCAGCAGUGGGGAAUCUUGCACAAUGGAGGAAACUCUGAUGCAGCGAUGCCGCGUGAGUGAAGAAGGCCCUUGGGUUGUAAAGCUCUUUCGUCGGGGAAGAAAAUGACUGUACCCGAAUAAGAAGGUCCGGCUAACUUCGUGCCAGCAGCCGCGGUAAUACGAAGGGACCUAGCGUAGUUCGGAAUUACUGGGCUUAAAGAGUUCGUAGGUGGUUGAAAAAGUUAGUGGUGAAAUCCCAGAGCUUAACUCUGGAACUGCCAUUAAAACUUUUCAGCUAGAGUAUGAUAGAGGAAAGCAGAAUUUCUAGUGUAGAGGUGAAAUUCGUAGAUAUUAGAAAGAAUACCAAUUGCGAAGGCAGCUUUCUGGAUCAUUACUGACACUGAGGAACGAAAGCAUGGGUAGCGAAGAGGAUUAGAUACCCUCGUAGUCCAUGCCGUAAACGAUGUGUGUUAGACGUUGGAAAUUUAUUUUCAGUGUCGCAGGGAAACCGAUAAACACACCGCCUGGGGAGUACGACCGCAAGGUUAAAACUCAAAUGAAUUGACGGGGACCCGCACAAGUAGUGGAGCAUGUGGUUUAAUUCGAAGAUACGCGCAGAACCUUACCAACACUUGACAUGUUCGUCGCGACUCUAAGAGAUUAGAGUUUUCGGUUCGGCCGGACGAAACACAGGUGCUGCAUGGCUGUCGUCAGCUCGUGUCGUGAGAUGUUGGGUUAAGUCCCGCAACGAGCGCAACCCUCACUUUUAGUUGCCAUCAUUUAGUUGGGCACUCUGAAAGAACUGCCAGUGAUAAGCUGGAGGAAGGUGGGGAUGACGUCAAGUCCUCAUGGCCCUUACGUGUUGGGCUACACACGUGCUACAAUGGUAUCUACAACAGGAAGCAAAACUGCGAAGUUAAGCAAAUCCCUAAAAGAUACCUCAGUUCGGAUUGCACUCUGCAACUCGAGUGCAUGAAGCUGGAAUUACUAGUAAUCGUGGAUCAGCGUGCCACGGUGAAUGCGUUCCCGGGUCUUGUACACACCGCCCGUCACACCAUGGGAGUUGGUUCUACCUUAAGGCAAGGUUUCAAACCCUUGACCACGGUAUAGUCAGCGACUGGGGUGAAGUCGUAACAAGGUAACCA